RNAcentral lists this long non-coding RNA (401 nucleotides) under Gorilla gorilla gorilla (western lowland gorilla). RNAcentral's name for it is "lncRNA (ENSGGOG00000044466.1)". The record is from RNAcentral. Lineage: Eukaryota; Metazoa; Chordata; Mammalia; Primates; Hominidae.
CUUAAGACCAGGGAGGUGGAGGGUGGUACCUGGCACUUUUUUUUUUUUUGUCAUUAUUGGCCUUCGUAUCAUCCAAAAAGCUCUGAAAACCAAGAAUUCUAUUUUAACAUCCUAUUACCAGAAUAUAGACAUCUUCUGUAACCAGAAGCACUCCAAGAACAACACUUUCAUUCAUGGACUUAACAACUACAUUAGAUCAUACCAGCCUGUCACUUCAAAGUCACCAGUGUCAAGGAACAUUUCAAAUGGGCUUAAAGCAUUGUUUUAGAGGUGUGAAUAAUGAAGCCAAGGACAUUAGCAACAUCAUGAAAGCAGAUUCCACGUGCUGCACACUUCAUAUGCACAUCGUUAUUUCCUGCUGUCACCUCUGUGGCUCUUUAUUCAUAUGAUGAAGCCCUGCC